Molecule: ribosomal RNA, 1502 nt
Filed under: metagenome
Description: bacterial LSU rRNA
Rfam family: Bacterial large subunit ribosomal RNA
Source: RNAcentral
GGCGCGGGCGCGUUGGGAUCCCCCCUCGUAGUAGGUCAGCGCAGGAGUGACGCAUCAGGGCAGCCGGCCGCGGAGGUGGUUUUCCGUGGUCAAGCGUUCGAGCCCGUCCCGCAGGCAAAUCCGCGGGGCGUCGGGGUGAGGCGUGAUGAUGGGGGCCUUACGGCCCGAAUCCGGUGAUCCGUGGUGCCGAGGAAAGCUUCGGCGUCAGGCGCGUUGCCGCCCGUACCCCAAACCGACACUGGUGGUCAGGUAGAGAAUACCAAAGCGAUCGAGCGAAUCCUGGUCAAGGAACUCGGCAAAUUGCUCCCGUGCCUUCGGCAUAAGGGAGACCCCCUGCGGUGAUGAGCGGCGGGGGGUGGCACAGGCCAGGGGGUAGCGACUGUUUACCAAAAACACAGGAGCGUGCGAAGGCGCAAGCCGCUGUAUACGCUCUGACGCCUGCCCGGUGCCGGAAGGUUAAGAGGAUCCGUCAGCUUCUGCGAAGCGGUGAAUUCAAGCCCCGGUAAACGGCGGUGUAACAAUAACCAUCCUAAGGUAGCGAAAUUCCUUGUCGGGUAAGUUCCGACCUGCACGAAUGGCGUAACGACUUCCCCACUGUCUCGACCAGGAGCUCGGCGAAAUUGCAGUACGAGUAAAGAUGCUCGUUAAGCGCAGAAGGACGAAAAGACCCCGGGACCUUUACUAUACCUUGGUAUUGGCAUUAGGCGCGGAUUGUGUAGCAUAGGCGGGAGGCUUCGAGGCGGGUGCGCCAGCAUCCGCGGAGCCGCAAGGUGAAAUACCGCUCUGUUCUCGUUUGAUGUCUAACCUCGAACAGUCAUCCUGUUCAGGGACAGUGCCUGGCGGGUAGUUCAACUGGGGCGGUUGCCUCCCAAAGAGUAACGGAGGCGCUCAAAGGUCCGCUCGGCCCGGUUGGCAAUCGGGUGUCGAGUGUAAUCGCACAAGCGGGCUUGACUGCGAGAUCGACGGAUCGAGCAGGGACGAAAGUCGGAGAUAGUGAUCCGGUGCCGGCGCACGGGCGCGGCAUCGCUCAACGGAUAAAAGGUACCCCGGGGAUAACAGGCUGAUCAUUCCCAAGAGUCCAUAUCGACGGGAUGGUUUGGCACCUCGAUGUCGGCUCGUCGCAUCCUGGGGCUGGAGCAGGUCCCAAGGGUUCGGCUGUUCGCCGAUCAAAGCGGCACGCGAGCUGGGUUCAGAACGUCGUGAGACAGUUUGGUCUCUAUCCUCUGCGCUCGUUGGAAUCUUGAGGAGGCCUGCCCAUAGUACGAGAGGACCUGGGUGGACGAACCUCUGGUACGCCGGUCGUCACGCCAGUGGCGCGGCCGGUUGGCUACGUUCGGAAGGGAUAACCGCUGAAAGCAUCUAAGCGGGAAGCCUUCUCCAAGAUAAGGAUUCCAUGCGGCCCCGAGCCGCUGAAGACCCCAUGCAGAACACGUGGUCGAUAGGCCGGACGUGGAAGCCCCGCGAGGGGUGGAGCCGACCGGUACUAAUGGUCGAGAGGCGAA